GUGCCCGUAGCUCAGGAGGAUAGAGCACAAGAUUCCUAAUCUUGAGGUCAUGGGUUCAAAUCCCUUCGGGCACG
RNAcentral lists this transfer RNA (74 nucleotides) under Alphaproteobacteria bacterium. RNAcentral's name for it is "tRNA-Arg". It matches the Rfam family "tRNA". Rfam says of the family: Transfer RNA (tRNA) molecules are approximately 80 nucleotides in length. Their secondary structure includes four short double-helical elements and three loops (D, anti-codon, and T loops). The record is from RNAcentral. Lineage: Bacteria; Pseudomonadati; Pseudomonadota; Alphaproteobacteria.